CAGUUUUGAGUGUAGCAGGGUGCUGCUUCCAGAUAUGGAACUACACUGAGCACUAGAGAGCACCUCAACCUGUUCUUAUAUGCCAGCAUCUCCUCUCUGCCAUUGAUACAAUAGAAAGAAGCAAAACCGAUGCGACACAGAGCCAAUGAUUUAAACUGAAGUCUUGCUCCUUCCUCUUCCAUGUAAGUGGACAUCUAACAAAAUUGCCAGAACUAAUCUCUGAGGUACCUGAACAUCAGUUGUAAUUUUGGAAUAACUCUAGGCCCAACUGGGAAGAUGGUACCCUUACUAAUGAAG
Sphaerodactylus townsendi is the source of this 297-nucleotide long non-coding RNA. RefSeq lists it as uncharacterized. Lineage: Eukaryota; Metazoa; Chordata; Lepidosauria; Squamata; Sphaerodactylidae. The transcript has 3 exons. The record is from RefSeq and is a predicted model, not a curated record.